GACAGAGGGUGCAAACGUUGUUCGGAUUUACUGGGCGUAAAGCGCGUGUAGGCGGCUUUGCAAGUCGGAUGUGAAAGCCCACGGCUCAACCGUGGAAGUGCAUCCGAAACUGCAUGGCUUGAGUCUCGGAGAGGAAGGUGGAAUGCUUGGUGUAGAGGUGAAAUUCGUAGAUAUCAAGCAGAACACCUGCGGCGAAGGCGGCCCUCUGGACGAUGACUGACGCUGAGACGCGAAAGCGUGGGGAGCAAACAGG
This 253-nucleotide ribosomal RNA is filed under the name uncultured bacterium. RNAcentral describes it as "partial 16S ribosomal RNA". It matches the Rfam family "Bacterial small subunit ribosomal RNA", at positions 524 to 776 of the family's 1533-position model. The record is from RNAcentral.